UAAACUAGGAUUAGAUACCCUAUUAUUUUAAAUGUAAUAUUUAAUUUACUAAAUUAGUAUUAGUUAUUUUCUUGAAAAAUAAAAAAUUUGGCGGUAUUUUAAUCUUUUCAGAGGAACCUGUUCUAUAAUUGAUAGUCCACGAUUAAAUUUACUUUACUUUUUAGUUUGCAUAUCGUCGUAAAUUGAAUAUUUUAAUAGAAUUUUUAAUAUUCAAAAUUUAAGAUUAUAAUAAAAAUCAGAUCAAGGUGUAGUAUAUGGUAAAGAAGAAAUGGGUUACAUUAAAUUUAUUUAGGAAUAAUUUUUUUUAAUAAAGUUUGAAUUUGGAUUUGAGAGUAAAUUUUAAGGAUAUACUUAAAUUGAUUAAAGUUCUAAAAUAUGUACACAUCGCCCGUCGCUCUUAA
RNAcentral lists this ribosomal RNA (401 nucleotides) under Bruchidius hinnulus. RNAcentral describes it as "partial 12S ribosomal RNA". Lineage: Eukaryota; Metazoa; Arthropoda; Insecta; Coleoptera; Chrysomelidae. The record is from RNAcentral.